RNAcentral lists this ribosomal RNA (301 nucleotides) under uncultured bacterium. Its description in RNAcentral is "partial 16S ribosomal RNA". It matches the Rfam family "Bacterial small subunit ribosomal RNA", at positions 509 to 807 of the family's 1533-position model. The record is from RNAcentral.
CAGUCGCCGCGGUAAUACAGAGGGUGCGAGCGUUAAUCGGAUUUACUGGGCGUAAAGCGUGCGUAGGCGGCUUCUUAAGUCGGAUGUGAAAUCCCUGAGCUUAACUUAGGAAUUGCAUUAGAUACUGGGAAGCUAGAGUAUGGGAGAGGAUGGUAGAAUUCCAGGUGUAGCGGUGAAAUGCGUAGAGAUCUGGAGGAAUACCGAUGGCGAAGGCAGCCAUCUGGCCUAAUACUGACGCUGAGGUACGAAAGCAUGGGGAGCAAACAGGAUUAGAUACCCCUGUAGUCCCUGUCUCUUAUAC